AGCAGCCGCGGUAAUUCCAGCUCCAAUAGCGUAUAUUAAAGUUGUUGUGGUUAAAAAGCUCGUAGUUGAACCUUGGGCCUGGCUGGCCGGUCCGCCUCACCGCGUGUACUGGUCCGGCCGGGCCUUUCCCUCUGUGGAACCCCAUGCCCUUCACUGGGUGUGGCGGGGAAACAGGACUUUUACUGUGAAAAAAUUAGAGUGCUCCAGGCAGGCCUAUGCUCGAAUACAUUAGCAUGGAAUAAUAGAAUAGGACGUGUGGUUCUAUUUUGUUGGUUUCUAGGACCGCCGUAAUGAUUAAUAGGGACAGUCGGGGGCAUCAGUAUUCAAUUGUCAGAGGUGAAAUUCUUGGAUUUAUUGAAGACUAACUACUGCGAAAGCAUUUGCCAAGGAUGUUUUCAUUAAUCAAGAACGAAAGUUAGGGGAUCGAAGACGAUCAGAUACCGUCGUAGUCUUAACCAUAAACUAUGCCGACUGGGGAUCGGAUGAUGUUAAUUUUAUAAUGACUCA
RNAcentral lists this ribosomal RNA (507 nucleotides) under Fusarium oxysporum. Its description in RNAcentral is "SSU rRNA". It matches the Rfam family "Eukaryotic small subunit ribosomal RNA", at positions 569 to 1078 of the family's 1831-position model. Lineage: Eukaryota; Fungi; Ascomycota; Sordariomycetes; Hypocreales; Nectriaceae. The record is from RNAcentral.